AAUUCGACGCAACGCGAAGAACCUUACCAGGCCUUGACAUACUCGGCAAAGCUCUAGAGAUAGAGUGGAGGUUAUCCGGGAUACAGGUGGUGCAUGGUUGUCGUCAGCUCGUGUCGUGAGAUGUUGGGUUAAGUCCCGCAACGAGCGCAACCCUUGUCUUUAGUUACCAUCAUUAAGUUGGGGACUCUAGAGAGACUGCCGGUGAUAAACCGGAGAAGUGGGGAUGACGUCAAAUCAUCAUGCCCCUUAUGGCCUGGGCUACAAACGUAAUACAAUGGCGUAUACAAAGGGAUGCGAAAGGGCGACCUGGAGCAAAACUCACAAAGUACGUCUCAGUUCAGAUUGGAGUCUGCAACUCGACUCCAUGAAGGCGGAAUCGCUAGUAAUCGCGGAUCAGCAUGCCGCGGUGAAUACGUUCUCGGGGUUU
RNAcentral lists this ribosomal RNA (427 nucleotides) under uncultured Erysipelothrix sp. Its description in RNAcentral is "bacterial SSU rRNA". It matches the Rfam family "Bacterial small subunit ribosomal RNA", at positions 948 to 1382 of the family's 1533-position model. The record is from RNAcentral. Lineage: Bacteria; Bacillati; Bacillota; Erysipelotrichia; Erysipelotrichales; Erysipelotrichaceae.